RNAcentral lists this ribosomal RNA (462 nucleotides) under uncultured bacterium. RNAcentral's name for it is "partial 16S ribosomal RNA". It matches the Rfam family "Bacterial small subunit ribosomal RNA", at positions 28 to 507 of the family's 1533-position model. The record is from RNAcentral.
GACGAACGCUGGCGGCGUGCUUAACACAUGCAAGUCGAACGGUGAAGCCCUGCUGGUUGGAUCAGCGGCGAUUGGGGGCGUAAGACUUAAGCAACCGUCCCCUGCCUCUGGGAUAACCACUGGCAACGGUGGCUAAUACUAGAUACGACCCGCCACGGCUGCUACUGUGGGGGGAAAGUUUUUCGGCUGGGGUUGGGCAGGGGGCCUAUCAGCCUGUUGGUGGGGUUAGGGCUGACGAAGGCGAAGACGGGUAGCCGGCCUGAGAGGGCGACCGGCCACACUGGGACUGAGACACGGCCCAGACUCCUACGGGAGGCAGCAGUGGGGAAUAUUGCACAAUGGGCGGAAGCCUGAUGCAGCGACGCCGCGUGCGGGAUGACGGCCUUCGGGUUGUAAACCUCUUUCAGCUGAGAAGAAGCGAAAGUGACGGUAGGGGCAGAAGAAGCACCGGCUAACUACGUG